UGUCUGAACAUGGGGGGACCAUCCUCCAAGGCUAAAUACUCCUUACCGACCGAUAGUGAACCAGUACCGUGAGGGAAAGGCGAAAAGAACCCCUGUGAGGGGAGUGAAAUAGAACCUGAAACCGUAUACGUACAAGCAGUAGGAGCAGACUUGUUCUGUGACUGCGUACCUUUUGUAUAAUGGGUCAGCGACUUACAUUCAGUGGCGAGGUUAACCGAAUAGGGAAGCCGUAGAGAAAUCGAGUCCGAAUAGGGCGAUUCAGUCGCUGGGUGUAGACCCGAAACCAAGUGAUCUAUCCAUGGCCAGGAUGAAGGUGCCGUAACAGGUACUGGAGGUCCGAACCGACUAAUGUUGCAAAAUUAGCGGAUGAACUGUGGAUAGGGGUGAAAGGCUAAUCAAA
Molecule: ribosomal RNA, 400 nt
Filed under: Thalassiosira minuscula
Lineage: Eukaryota; Bacillariophyta; Thalassiosirophyceae; Thalassiosirales; Thalassiosiraceae
Description: partial Bacterial large subunit ribosomal RNA
Rfam family: Bacterial large subunit ribosomal RNA
Source: RNAcentral